RNAcentral lists this ribosomal RNA (811 nucleotides) under Cellulomonas sp. RNAcentral's name for it is "bacterial SSU rRNA". It matches the Rfam family "Bacterial small subunit ribosomal RNA", at positions 63 to 883 of the family's 1533-position model. The record is from RNAcentral. Lineage: Bacteria; Bacillati; Actinomycetota; Actinomycetes; Micrococcales; Cellulomonadaceae.
CGAACGGUGAUCCAGGGGCUUGCUCUUGGUGAUCAGUGGCGAACGGGUGAGUAACACGUGAGUAACCUGCCCCUGACUCUGGGAUAACCGCUGGAAACGGUGGCUAAUACCGGAUAUGAAACGCUUCCGCAUGGUGGUGUUUGGAAAGAUUUUUUGGUCAGGGAUGGACUCGCGGCCUAUCAGCUUGUUGGUGGGGUAAUGGCCUACCAAGGCGACGACGGGUAGCCGGCCUGAGAGGGCGACCGGCCACACUGGGACUGAGACACGGCCCAGACUCCUACGGGAGGCAGCAGUGGGGAAUAUUGCACAAUGGGCGAAAGCCUGAUGCAGCGACGCCGCGUGAGGGAUGAAGGCCUUCGGGUUGUAAACCUCUUUCAGCAGGGAAGAAGCGCAAGUGACGGUACCUGCAGAAGAAGCGCCGGCUAACUACGUGCCAGCAGCCGCGGUAAUACGUAGGGCGCAAGCGUUGUCCGGAAUUAUUGGGCGUAAAGAGCUCGUAGGCGGUUUGUCGCGUCUGCUGUGAAAACCUCAGGCUCAACCUGGGGCUUGCAGUGGGUACGGGCAGACUAGAGUGCGGUAGGGGAGACUGGAAUUCCUGGUGUAGCGGUGGAAUGCGCAGAUAUCAGGAGGAACACCGAUGGCGAAGGCAGGUCUCUGGGCCGCAACUGACGCUGAGGAGCGAAAGCAUGGGGAGCGAACAGGAUUAGAUACCCUGGUAGUCCAUGCCGUAAACGUUGGGCACUAGGUGUGGGGCUCAUUCCACGAGUUCCGUGCCGCAGCAAACGCAUUAAGUGCCCCGCCUGGGGAGUAC